GUAGUGUCUUUUACAAGUGGAAACUGUCGAAUGUGGGUAUUCGUUAUGAGAUAUAUGCUAGAAAUCAUGACUAAAUAGAAGAAUAUUAUCACAGAUGCGAUUGAUACGAGGAGCUCGUACUCGCAACUCGAAUUGGAUGAAGUAUGCGUGGAAUGGGCUGAAUAUUUAGGUCGCUAUAUCUGAUGGACUUCCUAUAAAUUUUGUGUAUGUGGCUACAUGGGAAUGUCCAAAACUUUUUUGGUGUAAAUAUUUUGUUCAGCCAUUAUAGGUUAUAUACUUCAAAGAAAUGUGUGGUGGAGGAUAGAAUUUUAGUCUUCUGAUUUUUGGAAUACAUAGCACAUAUAGAUUGGUCUUACAAUUUUGGAAUUAUCAUAUAUUGGGGUGGGUUGAUAGAGUAUAUACUGUUGUACGAUUGGUCUUGUAAAUUUUGGAAUCGUUCAUAUAGACAGUAAUAGAAGAAUGGAAUUGUUUAUUUUAGUA
Benincasa hispida (wax gourd) is the source of this 480-nucleotide non-coding RNA. NCBI's taxonomy places the organism in Eukaryota, Viridiplantae, Streptophyta, Magnoliopsida, Cucurbitales, Cucurbitaceae. The record is from RefSeq and is a predicted model, not a curated record.